Molecule: ribosomal RNA, 540 nt
Filed under: uncultured bacterium
Lineage: Bacteria
Description: bacterial SSU rRNA
Rfam family: Bacterial small subunit ribosomal RNA
Source: RNAcentral
AAUAGUACCCCGGUAGUCCACGCCGUAAACGGUGGGCACUAGGUGUGGGCGACAUUCCACGUCGUCCGUGCCGCAGCUAACGCAUUAAGUGCCCCGCCUGGGGAGUACGGCCGCAAGGCUAAAACUCAAAGGAAUUGACGGGGGGCCCGCACAAGCGGCGGAGCAUGUGGCUUAAUUCGACGCAACGCGAAGAACCUUACCAAGGCUUGACAUACACCGGAAACGUCCAGAGAUGGGCGCCCCCUUGUGGUCGGUGUACAGGUGGUGCAUGGCUGUCGUCAGCUCGUGUCGUGAGAUGUUGGGUUAAGUCCCGCAACGAGCGCAACCCUUGUCCCGUGUUGCCAGCAGGCCCUUGUGGUGCUGGGGACUCACGGGAGACCGCCGGGGUCAACUCGGGAGGAAGGUGGGGACGACGUCAAGGUCAUCAUGCCCCUUAUGUCUUGGGCUGCACACGUGCUACAAUGGCCGGUACAAUGAGCUGCGAUACCGCGAGGUGGAGCGAAUCUCAAAAAGCCGGUCUCAGUUCGGAUUGGGGUCUGC